GUGUUCCUGGAUUGCCGAAUAUUUCUUCCAACACAAGUCUCAGUUCUCAACCUAGUUUUCUAGGGUUGGGAAUGAGUUCGGGUAAAUGAAUGUCCAGAGCUAUUUAUAUGUUUUAUGGGUGUAUGUGUUAAUUACAGUAACAGGCCGAAGGUCCCAAUUGCAAAGCGACUGAGCCUGAUCCAAGAACUCAAACACUGGCGGUGUCCUUCCUCAACCUAAAACGUUUAGCAAGAAAUGUUUUUUCUUGAAUUAUCAGGAGCAAAACCCACAAAAACUUUUUAUGCUACUACCAAAGCCAGAGCAAAGUUGCUUAGCUCUAUGUAUUACGUUGAAAUUUGGGAAUAUCAAGAGAUCAAAGUCCUUUUUACAGGUUUUUUUUUAAGUCUCUUC
This 390-nucleotide unclassified non-coding RNA is filed under the name Hevea brasiliensis (rubber tree). Lineage: Eukaryota; Viridiplantae; Streptophyta; Magnoliopsida; Malpighiales; Euphorbiaceae. The record is from RNAcentral.